UUAUUGCGUUAAAACUGAAUGCAAAGCCCUUUCCUCACCGAGACACGGCCUUGGUGAGCUGCUCAUGCUGCACGGCAGGAUUUUUCUCCAAACGAAGCCAUUUUUGGCUGAAGCUGGUGCGGGGCUGUCUUCCUGUCCCGGCUUGGCACCGUGCUGCAGCAUCAAUUUGUAUUUUUUGUUUUCCGUAGCUUUUCUGUAUCCACGAGAAACAGCCAUUUCUCAGAUGUUUUGCUUCCCAUUGACAAACCUCAUGAAAAUUUCUGCGAGUUGCCGCUGUUCUAUUUCGGGACGGACGGGGCUAUUUUUAGCAAUCAAUUAAAGCUCCCAUCUGUAAGUGCCGGGAAAGUGAUCGAGCGCAAAGUAAUCCCUUGUUCUUCCCGUGGAGUCCGGCUGCCUUGCUCGCAUUGUCACCCGCCCCGGCGUGCUUUGACAUCCCAAAAUAGCAGCUGGUGCUGCAGUUUGUGCAGCACACGCUACCCUGCAGCCUUGAAGCGGAAGCUUCCAGCUCAGCUUCGCCUGCCAGAUCCAUCGGAUGUCGAGGAAAAGGAAAACCUGUGCGUGCAGCCUCCUUGGUCCUGCAGCGAAAAGCAGGGGAACCUCUCAGCACACCGUGUGCCACGGACGUGAAGCCGUCGUCCUUUUGCUCGCAGGGGCUGACAUUAUUGUCAAGCUCUAAUGGAGAAGGGGAAAUCGAACAGCUUCACGAUGGCCCGGCACUGUCUGCGGCGUGACCUUUUUCCAGUUGAUGGUUCAAUUUAUUUAGGUGAUAAAGAAAACACCGAGGCAUGUGAAGUCUGUCUUCCUGACAGAUGGGAGCUUGCCGAAACUUUUUUCCUCAUCCUUUUUUCCUUCCCCGCGUUCGCUGGCAGCCUUUUGUUUUUAUAAAGUGGCCCAUCUAUUUUCCUCGGAGGUUUAAAUGCUUUCUAAUCUUUUCAAGGCUUACAAAACUGCUCCUGACUUGACAGCCUGGAAGGGGAAAAAGCCGAGCGGUUGUUGAGGUGUGCUGCAAAAGAGCGAUGCUCAUGUUUUGUGGAAGGCGAUGCAUGGCAUGUGCAAAAAUCCUUUGUGUUGGGGGCAUGGGGGCUUAGGCAGGUCUGUGAGCUUGUUGAGAAAAACAGCAUUAAAUUGGUAUUUUUGUUAAAUCGGUCCUGGCAUUGGAUUCUGUCACAAUAGUGGUGACUGAUAAAGGUUCCUGCCAAAGCCUGCUCAGAAAACUUACCCUGAAAUCACGAUGAAAACCAUCAAGCUUGCUGCUAAAUGUGUUUGCAAUUAUUAAAUGCUUAUUAUUUUGCUUGA
Molecule: long non-coding RNA, 1296 nt
Organism: Anas platyrhynchos (mallard)
Lineage: Eukaryota; Metazoa; Chordata; Aves; Anseriformes; Anatidae
Source: RefSeq, a predicted model, not a curated record